RNAcentral lists this ribosomal RNA (1340 nucleotides) under metagenome. Its description in RNAcentral is "bacterial LSU rRNA". It matches the Rfam family "Bacterial large subunit ribosomal RNA", at positions 1599 to 2925 of the family's 2925-position model. The record is from RNAcentral.
ACCCAGCUUCCAGGAAAAGCCUCUAAGCUUCAGUCUAAGAGUGACCGUACCGCAAACCGACACAGGUGGGCUGGUAGAGAAUACCAAGGCGCUUGAGAGAACUCAGGAGAAGGAACUCGGCAAAUUGAUACCGUAACUUCGGGAGAAGGUAUGCCCCUGGUACGUGAAGGCCCUCGCGGCCGGAGCGGAACGGGGUCGCAGAGAAUCGGUGGCUGCGACUGUUUAUUAAAAACACAGCACUCUGCAAACACGAAAGUGGACGUAUAGGGUGUGACGCCUGCCCGGUGCCGGAAGGUUAAGUGAUGGGGUGCAAGCUCUUGAUCGAAGCCCCGGUAAACGGCGGCCGUAACUAUAACGGUCCUAAGGUAGCGAAAUUCCUUGUCGGGUAAGUUCCGACCUGCACGAAUGGCGUAACGAUGGCCACACUGUCUCCUCCUGAGACUCAGCGAAGUUGAAAUGUUUGUGAAGAUGCAAUCUCCCCGCGGCUAGACGGAAAGACCCCAUGAACCUUUACUGUAGCUUUGCAUUGGACUUUGACGGGACUUGUGUAGGAUAGGUGGGAGGCUAUGAAACCGGGACGCCAGUUCCGGCGGAGCCACCCUUGAAAUACCACCCUGGUGUCGUCGAGGUUCUAACCCAGGCCUGUGAAUCCAGGUCGGGGACCGUGCAUGGUGGGCAGUUUGACUGGGGCGGUCUCCUCCCAAAAGGUAACGGAGGAGUACGAAGGUCACCUAGGUACGGUCGGACAUCGUACUGAUAGUGCAAUGGCAAAAGGUGGCUUGACUGCGAGACCCACAAGUCGAGCAGGUGCGAAAGCAGGUCAUAGUGAUCCGGUGGUUCUGUAUGGAAGGGCCAUCGCUCAACGGAUAAAAGGUACUCUGGGGAUAACAGGCUGAUUCCGCCCAAGAGUUCACAUCGACGGCGGAGUUUGGCACCUCGAUGUCGGCUCAUCACAUCCUGGGGCUGUAGCCGGUCCCAAGGGUAUGGCUGUACGCCAUUUAAAGUGGUACGUGAGCUGGGUUUAAAACGUCGUGAGACAGUUUGGUCCCUAUCUGCCGUGGGCGCUGGAAGUUUGAGAGGGCCUGCUCCUAGUACGAGAGGACCGGAGUGGACGCACCCCUGGUGUACCGGUUGUGGCGCCAGUCGCAUCGCCGGGUAGCUAUGUGCGGAAGAGAUAACCGCUGAAAGCAUCUAAGCGGGAAACUCGCCUCAAGAUGAGACUUCCCCGGGGCCUCGAGCCCCCUGAAGGGUCGUUGAAGACCACAACGUUGAUAGGCCGGGUGUGUAAGCGUGGCAACACGUUCAGCUAACCGGUACUAAUUGCCCGUGUGGCUUGAUUC